Molecule: ribosomal RNA, 1419 nt
Filed under: Escherichia coli
Lineage: Bacteria; Pseudomonadati; Pseudomonadota; Gammaproteobacteria; Enterobacterales; Enterobacteriaceae
Description: partial 23S ribosomal RNA
Rfam family: Bacterial large subunit ribosomal RNA
Source: RNAcentral
CGUUCUGUAAGCCUGCGAAGGUGUGCUGUGAGGCAUGCUGGAGGUAUCAGAAGUGCGAAUGCUGACAUAAGUAACGAUAAAGCGGGUGAAAAGCCCGCUCGCCGGAAGACCAAGGGUUCCUGUCCAACGUUAAUCGGGGCAGGGUGAGUCGACCCCUAAGGCGAGGCCGAAAGGCGUAGUCGAUGGGAAACAGGUUAAUAUUCCUGUACUUGGUGUUACUGCGAAGGGGGGACGGAGAAGGCUAUGUUGGCCGGGCGACGGUUGUCCCGGUUUAAGCGUGUAGGCUGGUUUUCCAGGCAAAUCCGGAAAAUCAAGGCUGAGGCGUGAUGACGAGGCACUACGGUGCUGAAGCAACAAAUGCCCUGCUUCCAGGAAAAGCCUCUAAGCAUCAGGUAACAUCAAAUCGUACCCCAAACCGACACAGGUGGUCAGGUAGAGAAUACCAAGGCGCUUGAGAGAACUCGGGUGAAGGAACUAGGCAAAAUGGUGCCGUAACUUCGGGAGAAGGCACGCUGAUAUGUAGGUGAAGUCCCUCGCGGAUGGAGCUGAAAUCAGUCGAAGAUACCAGCUGGCUGCAACUGUUUAUUAAAAACACAGCACUGUGCAAACACGAAAGUGGACGUAUACGGUGUGACGCCUGCCCGGUGCCGGAAGGUUAAUUGAUGGGGUUAGCGCAAGCGAAGCUCUUGAUCGAAGCCCCGGUAAACGGCGGCCGUAACUAUAACGGUCCUAAGGUAGCGAAAUUCCUUGUCGGGUAAGUUCCGACCUGCACGAAUGGCGUAAUGAUGGCCAGGCUGUCUCCACCCGAGACUCAGUGAAAUUGAACUCGCUGUGAAGAUGCAGUGUACCCGCGGCAAGACGGAAAGACCCCGUGAACCUUUACUAUAGCUUGACACUGAACAUUGAGCCUUGAUGUGUAGGAUAGGUGGGAGGCUUUGAAGUGUGGACGCCAGUCUGCAUGGAGCCGACCUUGAAAUACCACCCUUUAAUGUUUGAUGUUCUAACGUGGACCCGUAAUCCGGGUUGCGGACAGUGUCUGGUGGGUAGUUUGACUGGGGCGGUCUCCUCCUAAAGAGUAACGGAGGAGCACGAAGGUUGGCUAAUCCUGGUCGGACAUCAGGAGGUUAGUGCAAUGGCAUAAGCCAGCUUGACUGCGAGCGUGACGGCGCGAGCAGGUGCGAAAGCAGGUCAUAGUGAUCCGGUGGUUCUGAAUGGAAGGGCCAUCGCUCAACGGAUAAAAGGUACUCCGGGGAUAACAGGCUGAUACCGCCCAAGAGUUCAUAUCGACGGCGGUGUUUGGCACCUCGAUGUCGGCUCAUCACAUCCUGGGGCUGAAGUAGGUCCCAAGGGUAUGGCUGUUCGCCAUUUAAAGUGGUACGCGAGCUGGGUUUAGAACGUCGUGAGACAGUUCGGUCCCUA